CAAAUAUCAUUCUGUUUCGAGACUCCAAUGCCUCGUCGCCGCUUCAGGACAGGAAUAUAUAAGGAGCGAUUUAGGAUCGCAUCAUCGCCCUUAGCUCGCAUUUCCUGCGUAGUUUGGAUUGGGGAGUCGGUUGCCGAUGCACCAAUUGAAGCGGCUCCUAGCGGCCGGAGGCGGCGGCAGAAGGAGCAGCGACGGCGGAUUCUGUUCUCCCGUCCUGCUGCUUCUCUUCCUCUUCUUUGCGGCACGUGGCAGCAUCCGCGCCGCCCCCAUCUCUCCCGAGUUCAAAUUGGAGAGAACAGUACCUGUUGACUGCCUUUGGAAUAUGUGCUCACUGAUUACUGGUUUUACUUCAUUUGCUUUUUCUUAGUCUGAGACAAGCAGUGGAUUCGACCAAGCAGUGGCUGGGCAUAUGGGAUGAAUACUUUUUACCUUAAUGAGUGGAAGAAGAAAGAUAUAACUCAUAUUUUUCACAAAUGGCAGAAAAUGAAUGAAGAGAGUGCUGUGGAAACUGGGGACACUUCCUCCAGGACUACUCACGUUUUAUAAACUGACACACGCUGGACAAAUCAUGGCAUGUUCUUGGCUUGGGUUAUAACCCUAGCAUUGAUCACUCAGAGAUACAAAAUGCUGCUGUAGUCCAUUAUAAUGGGAACAUGAAACCAUGGUUGGAGAUGGCAAUGUCCAAGUACAGAACAUAUUGGACCAAGUACAUCAUGUAUGAUCACCCUUAUAUUACGGGAUGCAAGCUAAGCGAAUAGGAAGAAUUAGAAAGUGUAGUCAGAAAACAGCUGCAGCUCUUUUGCUCGAGAAGUUAAUCUGGAGUAAGCUGGAGAUUGUGAAGGGUUCUUCGACCUCAUAUUGCCUUAUCUUAUGAAUUAUCUUUGAAAUCCAUGAUGUCAUUCUCACCCGUGUUGUAAACUUUCCCUUAUUGUUUGUGCCUCUGACGGAGGGAGAUUCUUCAGCUGUUCAAUUUAUCAGAAUAUGUAGCUGCAUUCUGACUCUGAUGGAGAGAGCUUCCUAGUGGUUCAAAUUCAUCAGAAUAUGUAGCUGCAUUCUGCUAGUAAGUAAAAAAAAAAACUUCUUUUAAUUUUCUAUC
Molecule: long non-coding RNA, 1096 nt
Organism: Musa acuminata AAA Group (dessert banana)
Lineage: Eukaryota; Viridiplantae; Streptophyta; Magnoliopsida; Zingiberales; Musaceae
Exons: 4
Source: RefSeq, a predicted model, not a curated record